Molecule: long non-coding RNA, 435 nt
Organism: Polistes canadensis
Lineage: Eukaryota; Metazoa; Arthropoda; Insecta; Hymenoptera; Vespidae
Exons: 2
Source: RefSeq, a predicted model, not a curated record
GUUGUUGCUGCUGCUAGUAGUACUGUUGCCGUUGCAUGUUUCUUUAUUACGAACUAAUAACCGUUUCUUAUCCGAUGCGAGAGCGAGUUUAUAACUUAAAAUAUAAAUAUUAUCUCAACGAGUCGACUAUUAGAUUAGUCCAAUUGUUUUUUAUUCGUUAGAGUUAUUGAUCGUCAAAUAUUCGUAAAAGUUGUAUAAAUAUAAAGUGAAAAUAUUUGUCACGGACGAUCGAAAAUAUAAUUUUCGUAAGGUUUGUAAACACAAUUGUAAUUACAGUAUAUUUAGAAUAAAAUUGUAGUACUUUGUAUUUUGUUAAAUUUUCAAAAUUCUACUAUUCAAAGGAUCUAGCAAUAAGAAUAAGACUUAAUGGGAGAGGUAUUUUCAAGUGACAACUGUGUACACCAAAUAAAGUUGUUGAAAAAGAAAAAAGAAAAA